RNAcentral lists this ribosomal RNA (257 nucleotides) under uncultured bacterium. RNAcentral describes it as "partial 16S ribosomal RNA". It matches the Rfam family "Bacterial small subunit ribosomal RNA", at positions 57 to 305 of the family's 1533-position model. The record is from RNAcentral.
GCAAGUCGAGGGGUAACAGAUGAAGAGCUUGCUCAGAUUGCUGACGACCGGCGCACGGGUGAGUAACACGUAUGCAACCUACCUUACAUUGGGGGAUAGCCCAGAGAAAUCUGGAUUAAUACCGCAUAAUAUAUUUAACUCGCAUGAGUUUUAAAUUAAAACUUCGGUGGUAAAAGAUGGGCAUGCGUUCUAUUAGUUUGUUGGUGAGGUAACGGCUUACCAAGACUACGAUAGAUAGGGGUUCUGAGAGGAUAGUC